Molecule: long non-coding RNA, 1066 nt
Organism: Micropterus dolomieu (smallmouth bass)
Lineage: Eukaryota; Metazoa; Chordata; Actinopteri; Centrarchiformes; Centrarchidae
Exons: 7
Source: RefSeq, a predicted model, not a curated record
GCUGCCCGAAAAGCAAGGCUUCAAUCUUGAUGGGCGCUCAGAAGGGCAGUGGCACUCAGGGGAGAGGGAGAGUGUGCUUUUGGUGCUGCCGUCUGUGAAGACAGUUUCAUGCUGUAGGGGAGGUGUUCUUGUGCUUGGAGGUCAGAUAACUCCUUUAGCUACUUUAACCUAGAAAGGUGGUUAACUCCUGUACCAGUGGGAUCUGUCCUUUAGCCGACCGUGUGGGGGCUCUCUGUCCCAUGGUGCCCGUCCAGACCUUAAAUGAGUUGUUUAUCUUGGAAAAAAAAAUAAAGUGUCUAGUGUUCUCAGCAGCUGGCCUAUCGGAGAAAAAAAAGGAUCUGAAAUGGAUCAGGCCUUUAUGAAGCUGAUCCUGAGAUGAAAAAGUAUUAUUAAAUGUUGUUUUUUAAGGUAUUAAUGACAGGAGAAAGACAGUGGGAAAUGAAAUGUAACAAAGGUCCCAUGCCAGGAAUCGAAUCAAACCAGGGACAUUACGAUAACAGCAUGGUAUUCAUUUCAGACAAAACAAUUGUUUUUUAAGGUAUUAAUGACAGGAGAAAGACAGUGGGAAAUGUAACAAAGGUCCCAUGCCAGGAAUCGAAUCAAACCAGGGACAUUACAAUAACAGCAUGGCAUUCAUUUCAAUCACUACGCCACGACAGGCAUAGCGGCGCCAUGCCCUCCUCGCUCUGUGCAGAUGAGCUGAAUAGACCCUCUGAAUUGGUGCCUUAUGGUGCCACUUCACGCUACAGUGAUGCUGAGGAAUCCUCCUCCCAAGGCUCCUAUACAGCAUUGAUCCUGCACUGUAUGUACCCUUGCAAGGUAUUAUGUAUGCCUGUUAUAUGCUUCAAUGCCACAACAGACUGUAGUUAUGAACUGAUGUACACUGCAGAGAGAAAAUGUAUCAAAUGGUUGAACUUAAAACCUUUCCUGGCUGAAAAACACUGUAUUCAUUUUUACAACAAAACAGCCGUGCACUGAUCUAUCAUUGAUAUAAGCUGUUGUUAUGUAUUGAAGCUGGAUUACUGAUCAUCUUGUUCUAUAAUAAAGGAACCGUGUCUGAAACAAA